Molecule: ribosomal RNA, 253 nt
Filed under: uncultured bacterium
Lineage: Bacteria
Description: partial 16S ribosomal RNA
Rfam family: Bacterial small subunit ribosomal RNA
Source: RNAcentral
UACAGAGGUCUCAAGCGUUGUUCGGAUUCAUUGGGCGUAAAGGGUGCGUAGGUGGCGUCGUAAGUCAGGUGUGAAAUCUCGGAGCUUAACUCCGAAACUGCAUUUGAUACUGCGGUGCUUGAGGACUGGAGAGGAGACUGGAAUUUACGGUGUAGUGGUGAAAUGCGUAGAUAUCGGGAGGAACACCAGUGGCGAAGGCGACUUCCUGGCCUGUUCUUGACGCUGAGGCGCGAAAGCUAGGGGAGCAAACGGG